CCUUGGCGUUCUCGCUACAGUGUUGCCAUAAAAAAAUUGUGUGAGGAAGGGUGAAGCCGAUAGCCACGAACACCGAUCCUUCUCAACCGAGAAGGAACCUCUGCGUCUUGGUCAGCGACCAUUGUUGCCCCUUCUCCACCACCGUCGCUGCUGCGCAACCAACAGCCACCACCAUCACUGCUGCCCCCUUGCUGUAGUUAUCUUCAUCUUAGGAAAGAAAAAAAAGAAAAAAAAAAAGAAAGGAAGAAAGAAAGAAAGAAGAGAAAGAAGAGAGAGAAGAAAAGAAGCCGUAGCCAUGCACCCCUGCUUCCCUUGCUUGUGGCUAGCACACCGUCGGCCGUCGCUAUUCUUCGGCCAGCGACCGACCCUGCCCCGCUUCCGGCCAGAGUCCACCGUGGUCGUCGCCUCCCACUCGAGUCACCACCGUUGCCAGGAGACGACGUUGUCAGCGUCCCACUCCGCCGAAGCCCUGCUCCUUUUCUCUACCGCCGCUGCAGGGCAACUCCUUCUCCACUACCGCCGCUGCUUCCCGGUCGAUCGAUCACUGCCGGUCGCCUCCCAACCGCAACCCUAGCC
RNAcentral lists this long non-coding RNA (576 nucleotides) under Musa acuminata (dwarf banana). RNAcentral's name for it is "long non-coding RNA (MACU_LNC003411)". Lineage: Eukaryota; Viridiplantae; Streptophyta; Magnoliopsida; Zingiberales; Musaceae. The record is from RNAcentral.